Melanotaenia boesemani (Boeseman's rainbowfish) is the source of this 1091-nucleotide RNA transcript. It is a transcript of the gene named putative protein TPRXL, with no coding region annotated. NCBI's taxonomy places the organism in Eukaryota, Metazoa, Chordata, Actinopteri, Atheriniformes, Melanotaeniidae. The record is from RefSeq and is a predicted model, not a curated record. The transcript is spliced from 2 exons.
UCAAUGGGCCAUGAUGCGCAAACGGCCUCAAAAUUCUACGUUUCCUUGCCACGACGAGAUAGGGCCUACCGUGCACGGGAGCUCCGCAUGUCUGCCUUGGACAAGGAACUACGGCAAAGCGGGUCCAGUGCGGGAAGCCCCUCCACCUGGGAUAGCCCCUCCAGCUCAUCCACCUCCGUGUCGGUUCGCGGCAGGUCCAUGCCGUACGACAGCCCCUCCAGCGCGUCCACCUCCAUCUCGGUUCGCGGCAGGUCCAGGCCGUACGACAGCCCCUCGAGCGCGUCCACCUCCAUCUCGGUUCGCGGCAGGUCCAGGCCGGGCGGCAGCCCCUCCAGCUCAAGCGCAACAUCCACCUGCGGUCCAGGUGAGAUCUCUUCUGAUGAGGGGGAUAUGGUCAUCGACCUUUCCCCCCCUGCAGUUAAUCCCUCCCUGGAAGAUUUUGACCUCAGAAAGAAGAAUGCCAGCACUCCUCGGAUCACGUUGCCCAUCUUCACCCAGAGCACUGACCACAGCUCCCCAGAACUCCGUCUAGACCUGAGCGACUCGGACUCAACCCUGUCACGUUUGCCUGGGAUACAUCAACGCAUGAUGGGUAAAAGGGUACGGAAGGCCCUGUUCAUCCGGACGGCUCCUCCCUCUCCCUCCGCAAAGCGUAAAUCCACGAUGGAUGCUGGAUUUCCCGCUGCCAAGCGGCUGCUUGGCCAUGCCUAUUGGAUUAGUAGCCCUCCAAAGAAAAAACAGGCUGUGUGCUCGUCAGGGUAUAACUCUGAUCCAGGUUUAGGGCCGAUCUCAAAGGUCUUCAGCCCUCUUGUGAAGAACACUCAGACCCCAAAACGUCAGCCUCUUGACAAGGUCCACAGUCCAACUGUUGUGCCAGAGACACAGGAUCUAGAGUCCCCUCGUUAAAAAAAAGCACUUUAAAAAGUUCCAAAGAACAGUUCACGUAGGGGCUAGGCCCCAGUGUUAUGGCUCACUGAGUCCCUUUUUGUUUAAAAAAAAGACAUAAUUCUUAAAGAAUUUUAAGUUGUUUGUGCCUAAGGCAAAGAGUGAAGAAAGUAAUGGCUGAAUGACGGGCUAGGCCCCAAUGUUAU